RNAcentral lists this ribosomal RNA (644 nucleotides) under Streptomyces sp. 3213_1. Its description in RNAcentral is "bacterial SSU rRNA". It matches the Rfam family "Bacterial small subunit ribosomal RNA", at positions 100 to 758 of the family's 1533-position model. The record is from RNAcentral. Lineage: Bacteria; Bacillati; Actinomycetota; Actinomycetes; Kitasatosporales; Streptomycetaceae.
GAACGGGUGAGUAACACGUGGGCAAUCUGCCCUGCACUCUGGGACAAGCCCUGGAAACGGGGUCUAAUACCGGAUAACACUCCUACACUCAUGUGUGGGUGUUGAAAGCUCCGGCGGUGCAGGAUGAGCCCGCGGCCUAUCAGCUUGUUGGUGAGGUAAUGGCUCACCAAGGCGACGACGGGUAGCCGGCCUGAGAGGGCGACCGGCCACACUGGGACUGAGACACGGCCCAGACUCCUACGGGAGGCAGCAGUGGGGAAUAUUGCACAAUGGGCGAAAGCCUGAUGCAGCGACGCCGCGUGAGGGAUGACGGCCUUCGGGUUGUAAACCUCUUUCAGCAGGGAAGAAGCGCAAGUGACGGUACCUGCAGAAGAAGCGCCGGCUAACUACGUGCCAGCAGCCGCGGUAAUACGUAGGGCGCAAGCGUUGUCCGGAAUUAUUGGGCGUAAAGAGCUCGUAGGCGGCUUGUCACGUCGGGUGUGAAAGCCCGGGGCUUAACCCCGGGUCUGCAUUCGAUACGGGCUAGCUAGAGUGUGGUAGGGGAGAUCGGAAUUCCUGGUGUAGCGGUGAAAUGCGCANAUAUCAGGAGGAACACCGGUGGCGAAGGCGGAUCUCUGGGCCAUUACUGACGCUGANGAGCGAAA